UGGACGAGUAUGCAGGGCCGCAUUGUCUUCUCCAGCUCCGCAUCGGCGUCGUGGGCUGGAGGACGUUACUUCUGUGUUGGCUGUUUCCUCCGGUGAGCUGAUGCGUGGAGGAGACUGGAGAUUUGGUUGGGCAAGCGGCCUGUCCAUCCUAUACCUAUAACAAUAUCAUUGACAGUACUAGAGGUGGCAGUAUUUCGGUUCCCCUUGCUCCUGCUGGUUCAUCAUUGCCACAAUUGUUUGGACCUGGUUCUUCAGAUUUUGGUGCCUUUCAUAUCCUGGUUUCUUUGUUGUGUACUUCUUUUUGGGGGCUGUCCUGUGAUGUGAAGAAGUGUCAUUUAGUAUGUAUAUUAAGGUUUAGAAAAUGAAUGGGUUUUGCGUUUCUUUUUAGAGACUGCCCUGUGACACAAAGAAUAGGCAUCGAGUAUCUAUCUUAAUGUUUAAAGCAUGCCGCUUAUUUGA
Long non-coding RNA from Lolium rigidum, 459 nucleotides. RefSeq lists it as uncharacterized. NCBI's taxonomy places the organism in Eukaryota, Viridiplantae, Streptophyta, Magnoliopsida, Poales, Poaceae. The record is from RefSeq and is a predicted model, not a curated record. The transcript has 2 exons.